CAACACACAGGCAUAAUGCGACCAUCUUCUGCCAAGCUAUACGGAAGUACAGACCUACUGGCAUAAAGAGAAGGAAGCUGAUCUUCGUGCAGAGCCCGGGGCAAAGUGGACCAGCCUCUCUCUAUUGAAUUACUCACUUCUCAGCAUUAGGCACUACAGGAGAAUCCUAGUUAUGUACCUACUUAACAGAGGGCUGACGGAGGAGCACGAAUUGAAGGCCAGACUAGUCUAUGCGGGUAGUUCCAGAUCCAUCUGAAUGACGUGGUGAGACCUUGCCUUAAAACAUACACUCUGUCUCCUUUUAAUGCUCACAGACUCACAAACACCAAACCCCAGUUGACUCCUUAGUUGGUUGUGUCCGGCUGAAACUCAGUGAGAAAUGAGUUACAGAGGCUGUGGAGGGAGAGGAGAAUGAGGAGG
RNAcentral lists this long non-coding RNA (420 nucleotides) under Rattus norvegicus (Norway rat). Its description in RNAcentral is "long non-coding RNA NONRATT033604". Lineage: Eukaryota; Metazoa; Chordata; Mammalia; Rodentia; Muridae. The record is from RNAcentral.